GAGGAAAAGUUGAUGUAGAUAACCUAAAAGCAUUUCUGGAAAAUAUUGGGGUUGAGCUGUCACAUAAAGAAUUUGAAGAUUUUUCAAAAAACCUACCAGUUGAUGUUGAUGGAAAGAUUGAUCUGAAACAUGCGAUGACCAGAAUAAGUGACUUUACAGGAGAAAAGAUUAAUGCCAGUGAUAUGAAAAAUGUUCUUAGAGACAUGGGGAUAAAAGUCAAUGAUAAGGAAUGUGUGGAACUGCUAGAAACACUACCAACUGAUGCUGAUGGAAGUGUUCCUUUUAAAAAGGUGAUGGAUGAUGUGAAUGCAGAUAUAGGCAAGUUAAAAAUCCUAAUUCUUUAAUAAUAAUUUCCUGUAUUGUCUUUCUAGUUAAUCCAUAAAUUCAUUACCAUAGCACUCAUGAACAAUAAAA
This is a non-coding RNA of Ictidomys tridecemlineatus (thirteen-lined ground squirrel), 414 nucleotides long. NCBI's taxonomy places the organism in Eukaryota, Metazoa, Chordata, Mammalia, Rodentia, Sciuridae. The record is from RefSeq and is a predicted model, not a curated record.